GAUGAAGAACGUAGCGAAAUGCGAUACGUAAUGUGAAUUGCAAAUUCAGUGAAUCAUCGAGUCUUUGAACGCACAUUGCGCCCCCUGGUAUUCCGGGGGGCAUGCCUGUCCGAGCGUCAUUGCUGCCCUCAAGCACGGCUUGUGUGUUGGGCCCCGUCCUCCGAUCCCGGGGGACGGGCCCGAAAGGCAGCGCCGGCACCGCGUCCGGUCCUCGAGCGUAUGGGGCUUUGUCACCCGCUCUGUAGGCCCGGCCGGCGCUUGCCGAUCAACCCAAAUUUUUUAUCCAGGUUGACCUCGGAUCAGGUAGGGAUACCCGCUGAACUUAAGCAUAUCAAUAAGCGGAGGA
Molecule: unclassified non-coding RNA, 346 nt
Filed under: soil metagenome
Description: partial contains 5.8S ribosomal RNA, internal transcribed spacer 2, and large subunit ribosomal RNA
Rfam family: 5.8S ribosomal RNA (bases 1-119)
Source: RNAcentral